GCAGGGGAGACAGGUGGUGCAUGGUUGUCGUCAGCUCGUGUCGUGAGAUGUUGGGUUAAGUCCCGCAACGAGCGCAACCCCUAUCCUUAGUAGCCAGCGAGCAAGACGGGCACUCUAGGGAGACUGCCGGGGAUAACCCGGAGGAAGGUGGGGAUGACGUCAAAUCAUCAUGCCCCUUAUGGCCUGGGCUACACACGUGCUACAAUGGCGUAAACAAAGGGAAGCGAAGGCGUGAGCGUAAGCAAAACCCAAAAAUAACGUCCCAGUUCGGAUUGUAGUCUGCAACCCGACUACAUGAAGCUGGAAUCGCUAGUAAUCGCGGAUCAGAAUGCCGCGGUGAAUACGUUCCCGGGUCUUGUACACACCGCCCGUCACACCAUGGGAGUCGGAAAUGCCCGAAGUCGGUGACCCAACCUGAAAGGGAGGGAGCCGCCGAAGGCAGGUCUGGUGACUGGGGUGAAGUCGUAACAAGGUAGCCGUAUCGGAAGGUGCGGUUGGAUCACCUC
This 506-nucleotide ribosomal RNA is filed under the name uncultured bacterium. Its description in RNAcentral is "bacterial SSU rRNA". It matches the Rfam family "Bacterial small subunit ribosomal RNA", at positions 1025 to 1529 of the family's 1533-position model. The record is from RNAcentral.